AAUAAAGAAAAUAUAGUGGGUGUAAGAAACUAGAAUGAGGUGUGAUAGAAAAAUUGUUGCUUAGACUCAAACACCAAAAACUCAUGGUGUCCAUUUGAUUGUGCAUGACUAUGAUAAUAUUUAUAGGGAGUAUGCAUAGAAUUAUUGUUAUAAUUACCAAUUACCAUUCACAUAAUGCCAUAUGGUUAGUUAUAUUAAAAUUAAACUAAAAUUAAGCACUAAUCAAGAUAUGACAUGUGGUAAUUUGAAUAUUAAAAAUUAAUAUUAAAUUAACUAAAAAAAGAAGGGAAAAAAACAAGAAUAAUAGAAGAGGAAAUAUAGCAAAAUUGCUCAACUUU
RNAcentral lists this long non-coding RNA (338 nucleotides) under Lathyrus oleraceus (garden pea). RNAcentral's name for it is "Pisum sativum (pea) long non-coding RNA (PSAT_LNC023387)". Lineage: Eukaryota; Viridiplantae; Streptophyta; Magnoliopsida; Fabales; Fabaceae. The record is from RNAcentral.